GCGAGGAGCUGCCAGCUCUGGCUAAGGAGGUGGCGAGAGUGGAAACUGUUCGAGCUUAUGCUGAUACAGUAUUGAAGCUUGACACUUUAGUUGGUGAUAUUGAAGAUGCUGUAUCUUCUGCUAUAAACAAAAACCUAAGGAAGCAGUCCUCUACACAGAGUUCAGAAGAAAUGCGCCUCCUUGCAAUUGAAACACUUGGACAAACAGAAAAUGUUUUAACUUCAAUCACAAAGACACGGCCUCAGUGGACACAUCUUGUAUCUGCAGUUGAUCACAGAGUAGAUAGAGCUUUGGCCAUUUUAAGACCCCAGGCAGUUGCAGAUCAUCGGUCCCUUCUUGCUUCCCUUGGAUGGCCUCCACCACUUUCCACCAUGACUUCCUCAAACCUUGACACAGGGAAAUCAACUGAAGUUCCGAAUCCUCUCUUCACAAUGCAAGGGGACCUCAAACACCAGUACUGCGAAAGCUUUCUUGCAUUGUGCCACUUGCAAGAGUUGCAGAGACGAAGAAAAUCUCGGCAACUUGAGGGCCAUAAUAGGGAAGUUGCUCUGCACCAACCACUUUGGGCAAUUGAAGAACUUGUGAAUCCAAUAUCCAUUGCAUGCCAAAGACAUUUUUCAAAGUGGACUGAUAAGCUGGAAUUCAUUUUUGCUCUCGUGUAUAAGAUUACAAGGGAUUAUGUUGACACUAUGGAUGAAUUAUUGCAACCGCUAGUUGAUGAAGCAAGGCUAGUAGCGUACAGUUGCAGAGAAGAAUGGAUUUCAGCAAUGGUAACCUCUUUAUCAACAUACUUAGCGAAAGAGAUAUUCCCUAUUUAUGUCAGUCAACUAAAUGAAGAGAGCACUGCUGGCGUUCAAUCACGGGCCAGAAUAUCAUGGCUUCAUCUUGUUGACUUGAUUAUUGCUUUUGAUAAAAGAAUUCAGUCUCUGGUAACACAUUCUGGAAUCAUGCUUUCCCUUGAGGAAAAUGAAAACUUGCAGAAGAUUUCUUCUCUGUCUAUGUUCUGUGACCGACCUGACUGGCUUGAUCUAUGGGCAGAAAUAGAGCUUAUUGACACACUUGAGAAACUAAAACCUGAGGUGGAAAAUGAGCGAAAUUGGACAGUGAAAAUUCAAGGAGCUGCUCUUUUAUCUGAUCCUGAAAAUUACAAAUCUCCUGCAGUUUCUGGUGCCUUCCUUCGGCG
This 1183-nucleotide unclassified non-coding RNA is filed under the name Hevea brasiliensis (rubber tree). The record is from RNAcentral. Lineage: Eukaryota; Viridiplantae; Streptophyta; Magnoliopsida; Malpighiales; Euphorbiaceae.